Long non-coding RNA from Saccostrea cuccullata (small rock oyster), 287 nucleotides. RefSeq lists it as uncharacterized. Lineage: Eukaryota; Metazoa; Mollusca; Bivalvia; Ostreida; Ostreidae. The transcript is spliced from 3 exons. The record is from RefSeq and is a predicted model, not a curated record.
AGCGUUCAUAUUUAACGUCGGGAUCGAUAUUUUGCAUUGUUUACACAAAGAAGGCAACAAUGCUUCAUGUUGCGGUUCGCACGGAUCGAGCACAUUUGACUGAUUUAUCAGGACUUUGAGAUCAAUAACUAAACAAACAGACCAUGUCCGAGUUUGAGAUGGAGACAGCUAUAUCCAGCACCAGAGACCCAGAAUCUGAUGAGGGAAAAGAAUCUACUGAAGAGAAGUUGACCGUUGACAUUUCUGACCCUGAGGGAGAAGGUCAUCAACACAAAGAAACAGUGAAG